RNAcentral lists this ribosomal RNA (91 nucleotides) under Bacillus sp. UNCCL13. RNAcentral describes it as "23S rRNA. Bacterial LSU". It matches the Rfam family "Bacterial large subunit ribosomal RNA", at positions 2833 to 2925 of the family's 2925-position model. Lineage: Bacteria; Bacillati; Bacillota; Bacilli; Caryophanales; Bacillaceae. The record is from RNAcentral.
AUCCCUGAAAGAUGAUCAGGUUGAUAGGUCAGAGGUGGAAGCGCGGCGACGUGUGGAGCUGACUGAUACUAAUAGAUCGAGGACUUAACCA